GACAGAGGAUGCAAGCGUUAUCCGGAAUGAUUGGGCGUAAAGCGUCUGUAGGUGGCUUUUCAAGUCCGCCGUCAAAUCCCAGGGCUCAACCCUAGACAGGUGGCGGAAACUACCAAGCUAGAGUACGGUAGGGGCAGAGGGAAUUUCCGGUGGAGCGGUGAAAUGCAUUGAGAUCGGAAAGAACACCAACGGCGAAAGCACUCUGCUGGGCCGACACUGACACUGAGAGACGAAAGCUAGGGGAGCAAAUGGG
Molecule: ribosomal RNA, 253 nt
Filed under: uncultured bacterium
Lineage: Bacteria
Description: partial 16S ribosomal RNA
Rfam family: Bacterial small subunit ribosomal RNA
Source: RNAcentral